UACAGAGGUGGCAAGCGUUGUUCGGAAUUACUGGGCGUAAAGGGCGCGUAGGCGGCCAUCUAAGUCAGACGUGAAAUCCCCCGGCUUAACCUGGGAACUGCGUCGGAUACUGGAUGGCUUGAAUUCGGGAGAGGGAUGCAGAAUUCCAGGUGUAGCGGUGAAAUGCGUAGAUAUCUGGAGGAAUACCGGUGGCGAAGGCGGCAUCCUGGACCGACAUUGACGCUGAUGAGCGAAAGCUAGGGGAGCAAACGGG
RNAcentral lists this ribosomal RNA (253 nucleotides) under uncultured bacterium. Its description in RNAcentral is "partial 16S ribosomal RNA". It matches the Rfam family "Bacterial small subunit ribosomal RNA", at positions 524 to 776 of the family's 1533-position model. The record is from RNAcentral.